GAUGAACGCUGGCGGCGUGCCUAAUACAUGCAAGUCGAGCGAACAGACGAGGAGCUUGCUCCUCUGACGUUAGCGGCGGACGGGUGAGUAACACGUGGAUAACCUACCUAUAAGACUGGGAUAACUUCGGGAAACCGGAGCUAAUACCGGAUAAUAUAUUGAACCGCAUGGUUCAAUAGUGAAAGACGGUUUUGCUGUCACUUAUAGAUGGAUCCGCGCCGCAUUAGCUAGUUGGUAAGGUAACGGCUUACCAAGGCAACGAUGCGUAGCCGACCUGAGAGGGGGGUCGGCCACACUGGAGCUGAGACACGGUCCAGGCUCCUACGGGAGGCAGCAGUAGGGAAUCUUCCGCAAUGGGCGAAAGCCUGACGGAGCAACGCCGCGUGAGUGAUGAAGGUCUUCGGAUCGUAAAACUCUGUUAUUAGGGAAGAACAAAUGUGUAAGUAACUAUGCACGUCUUGACGGUACCUAAUCAGAAAGCCACGGCUAACUACGUG
RNAcentral lists this ribosomal RNA (497 nucleotides) under uncultured bacterium. RNAcentral's name for it is "partial 16S ribosomal RNA". It matches the Rfam family "Bacterial small subunit ribosomal RNA", at positions 28 to 507 of the family's 1533-position model. The record is from RNAcentral.